Triticum dicoccoides is the source of this 1270-nucleotide long non-coding RNA. RefSeq lists it as uncharacterized. The transcript has 3 exons. The record is from RefSeq and is a predicted model, not a curated record. Lineage: Eukaryota; Viridiplantae; Streptophyta; Magnoliopsida; Poales; Poaceae.
ACGCGGCCCGCGCCGCCAAGCGGGCCGUCGCCGUCGUGUCCCCAUCCUUUCCAGCUCGAGCGCCGCCGCCGGGCAGUCGCCCCACCGCUGCCGCAACACUGUUCCGGUUGCACGCCGGAAUCGAAUCCGCUCGUCUCUUCUCGUCCGACUCCUCCCCGCCAGUCUCCGAGUUGCCGCCUGAAGCGGCGGGUCGGGUCGGAUUCAGAGAGGGACCUGCCACUCUCCACCUCGCCCUCCGGCGACGGCGGCGGCGACCUCGCUUGGCCGAACCACACCGACACGCCGGUGAGUUCCGACACGCCGCUCAGUUUUUUUCCAAGUAUUGUUCGGAAGAAUGCAGAGGCCGGUGGUUCAAGCGAGAAAGAGCACACACCAAUCCAUGUAUUAUUGCAAUUAUUAUGCAAAACAUCCGGUCCGAGCAACAAGACAAUACAUAAGCGUAGCGAAGCAUUCACAUGUGAAAGCCAUUGAAUAAUUCAGGUGGAAUAGGGAAGGUAUGCCGUAUGCUUACAGAUUUCCUUCGGAGUUGUUUGCCAACAAACAUAUCAACUGGAGAUGGUAUCAGCUUGAAGUUGAGGGCAUCCUUUGAUAUUAUACUCCACCUGACCAGAGGAUGACAAACCUUUCAAGCAGGAUAGUGCCCCACAAUCUUUGAUGGUUAAGUUGGUCAAUGCCUUGCAUGAGUGGAGCCUUAUGGUUAUUAAAGCUGAACACGUCAUUAUUUCAACUUCACUUAGCUCAAGCUCGUCCUCCUCAGAACAAUUGAAGUCAAUCUUAACAUCCUUCAGGGAGGACAUACCAAUCAAGGAUAGUUUCUUCAGGUAUGGCAGCUCCUCAAAUGGUGGCAGGGUUUUCAUUGCUGUACAGUCUUGGAGUUGGAGGCUUUCCAAAUUGCCGAGUGAGAAAUUUCGUCCCAACCAUGUUGGAGUAGCACCGGCAUAGUUUAUGACAAGAAGAUGUGCAAGGUCACCAUGCGGUUGAAGACCCUCGAUCACUUCUUUCUGAACAUCACUAUUUUCUCCCCACGAGAGUGACAGUGUCCUCAGAUGUUUCUUAUCUUUAAUCCUUGCACAGCUGGCCUCUGCCUUAUCUCUGACAUUCUCAAGACCAAGGAUACUAAGCGACCCUUUGAUCUCCUGUAAGUGUUCCAGCUGCGAAAUAUUGAAGGCACUCCCUUGUUGAACCUGAAAUUCAUUCAGCUCUUGUAAAAACUUAAGUUCCCCAACUCUUGAUAUCUUUGAGUGCAAUGAUCCCGGCCUCGGAACAAGCA